Molecule: ribosomal RNA, 560 nt
Filed under: uncultured Glomus
Lineage: Eukaryota; Fungi; Glomeromycota; Glomeromycetes; Glomerales; Glomeraceae
Description: SSU rRNA
Rfam family: Eukaryotic small subunit ribosomal RNA
Source: RNAcentral
AAUUGGAGGGCAAGUCUGGUGCCAGCAGCCGCGGUAAUUCCAGCUCCAAUAGCGUAUAUUAAAGUUGUUGCAGUUAAAAAGCUCGUAGUUGAAUUUCGGGAUCAAUAUUUCGGUCAUGCCGUUGGUAUGCACUGUUAUCAUUGAUUUCUCACCUUCUAAAGAACCGUAAUGCCAUUAAUUUGGUGUUACGGGGAAUUAGGACUGUUACCUUGAAAAAAUUAGAGUGUUUAAAGCAGGCUCACGCUUGAAUACAUUAGCAUGGAAUAAUGAAAUAGGACAUUCGAUUCUAUUUUGUUGGUUUCUAGGAUCGAUGUAAUGAUUAAUAGGGAUAGUUGGGGGCAUUAGUAUUCAAUUGUCAGAGGUGAAAUUCUUGGAUUUAUUGAAGACUAACUACUGCGAAAGCAUUUGCCAAGGAUGUUUUCAUUAAUCAAGAACGAAAGUUAGGGGAUCGAAGACGAUCAGAUACCGUCGUAGUCUUAACCAUAAACUAUGCCGACUAGGGAUCGGAUGAUGUUAAUUUUUUAAUGACUCAUUCGGCGCCUUACGGGAAACCAAAGUGU